RNAcentral lists this unclassified non-coding RNA (279 nucleotides) under uncultured fungus. Its description in RNAcentral is "partial contains small subunit ribosomal RNA, internal transcribed spacer 1, and 5.8S ribosomal RNA". The stretch from base 1 to 73 matches the Rfam family "Eukaryotic small subunit ribosomal RNA", at positions 1759 to 1831 of the family's 1831-position model. The record is from RNAcentral. Lineage: Eukaryota; Fungi.
GCAAACUUGGUCAUUUAGAGGAAGUAAAAGUCGUAACAAGGUCUCCGUUGGUGAACCAGCGGAGGGAUCAUUACCGAGUUUCCAAAACUCCCAACCCAUGUGAACUUACCUCUCGUUGCCUCGGCGGGAUCGCCCCGGGUGCCCCAGGCCCCGGACCCAGGCGCCCGCCGCAGGACCCCAAACUCUUGUUUAGUGGAAGCUUCUUCUGAGUGAGAAAACAAAUAAAUCAAAACUUUCAACAACGGAUCUCUUGGUUCUGGCAUCGAUGAAGAACGCAGC